Molecule: small RNA, 36 nt
Filed under: Bombyx mori (domestic silkworm)
Lineage: Eukaryota; Metazoa; Arthropoda; Insecta; Lepidoptera; Bombycidae
Description: ovarian small RNA-28343
Source: RNAcentral
UCGACUCCACGGACGUCGCUGGUGACACAGCGCCCC